RNAcentral lists this ribosomal RNA (590 nucleotides) under uncultured archaeon. Its description in RNAcentral is "bacterial SSU rRNA". It matches the Rfam family "Archaeal small subunit ribosomal RNA", at positions 281 to 876 of the family's 1478-position model. The record is from RNAcentral.
CGCGGGAUUGAUGGAUUCUGAGACACGAAUCCAGGCCCUACGGGGUGCAGCAGGCGCGAAAACUUUACAAUGCUGGCAACAGCGAUAAGGGGACCUCGAGUGCCAGGUUACAAAUCUGGCUGUCGUGAUGCCUAAAAAGCAUUGCAUAGCAAGGGCCGGGCAAGACCGGUGCCAGCCGCCGCGGUAACACCGGCGGCUCGAGUGGUAACCGUUAUUAUUGGGUCUAAAGGGUCUGUAGCCGGCCGGAUAAGUCUCUUGGGAAAUCUGGCAGCUUAACUGUCAGGCUUUCAGGAGAUACUGUCUGGCUCGAGGCCGGGAGAGGUGAGAGGUACUUCAGGGGUAGGGGUGAAAUCUUGUAAUCCUUGAAGGACCACCAGUGGCGAAGGCGUCUCACCAGAACGGACCUGACGGCAAGGGACGAAAGCUAGGGGCACGAACCGGAUUAGAUACCCGGGUAGUCCUAGCCGUAAACGAUACUCGCUAGGUGUCGGCCACGGUGCGACCGUUGUCGGUGCCGUAGGGAAGCCGUGAAGCGAGCCACCUGGGAAGUACGGCCGCAAGGCUGAAACUUAAAGGAAUUGGCGGGGGAG